Molecule: non-coding RNA, 24 nt
Filed under: Arabidopsis thaliana (thale cress)
Lineage: Eukaryota; Viridiplantae; Streptophyta; Magnoliopsida; Brassicales; Brassicaceae
Source: RNAcentral
AUGUCAUGUUUAUAUUAAAGCAGA